GAUCCUGGCUCAGGACGAACGCUGGCGGCGCGCCUAACACAUGCAAGUCGAACGGAGAGCAGAGGAUGAAGUUUUCGGAUGGAAUUUUCUGCAUCUUAGUGGCGGACUGGUGAGUAACACGUGAGCAACCUGCCUUUCAGAGGGGGAUAACGUUUGGAAACGAACGCUAAUACCGCAUAACAUUGCUUCAAGGCAUCUUGGAGCAGUCAAAGGAGCAAUCCGCUGAAAGAUGGG
RNAcentral lists this ribosomal RNA (234 nucleotides) under uncultured bacterium. RNAcentral describes it as "partial 16S ribosomal RNA". It matches the Rfam family "Bacterial small subunit ribosomal RNA", at positions 15 to 229 of the family's 1533-position model. The record is from RNAcentral.